RNAcentral lists this long non-coding RNA (1578 nucleotides) under Olea europaea subsp. europaea. Lineage: Eukaryota; Viridiplantae; Streptophyta; Magnoliopsida; Lamiales; Oleaceae. The record is from RNAcentral.
CAAUCCUUAGCGCCGUCAAUGCUACUUGCAGCAAAGUGUGAUAUUUCGAAGAUCCCAAGUUGGAGAUCACCUUGAGAUCUAUUUUGUAAAAGAACCUUAACUAUAUAAAAUUGCAAUUAAGCAAUCCAAAACCAAGAAAAAAUAUUCCACAAUUGCUCAUGAUGAAAAAUUUGUUCAAUAAAAGUGAUGUUACUUUCAUUUCUCAGCCUACAAAUAUUAAGACAAUCAUAUCCUACCUACGAUACAUAAUAUACACAAUAACUGAAUAUGAACUGAAAGUAAUUGGUGUAAUGUGAAAAGAAAAAAAGAAAAAAGCAUCCCUUAUGUUUUAGUAUGACAUCAUUUGCAUAUGAGUACUGCAUGUGGAGGACAUCAAAGCCAUCUCUAGAUCUUCAUUCAUUUCUCUUCAAAUUCACCAUCAGUGAGAACAUGUUUACUCUUUUCUGAAGAGAAACUGGUACCUCGGCCAACUUUAUAAAAGAAGUCACUUUGUGGUUGCCAUAAAAUGUUCUCACAACUUGCACAGCAAUGUGUUUAGCUCUUGUAUCCGCCAAACUGCCUCCUACAUGCAAGGCAUUCUUCUUGCUCAAAUAAAUUAAUACACACAUAAAUCAUGCGUGCUCAUACUAAUUACUAUUGGACCAUUUCAUGAUUGGAGAUCUAAAUAAACAUUAGCUCGCAAAUAACAAAACAAAAAGAGUAGGGAUGACAAAUCUAAAUGUAAGAAAAAAGAACCCAUUUAAAUUUACGGGAACUUUUGUUUUGGUGGUACUGUAAAAAUAAUAUUCACCAGGGUCUACAUGAAUAAGGCAUCCUGAGCACAUAUUUUAUAUUUUGGCAUUUUAAUUAACUCCAUAAAUAGGUGCUCAGCAUCUGGAAUGAAGUUCUAAGCAUGAAAAUUCCAAUUGGCUACAAAUAUGGUUGAACAUUUAUGAGGAUUUCUUGCUUGAUUAAGCUGUGCAGGACAAGUUACUAUCUGAAAAAUGACUAAUGGGUAACUAAGGGAACAAAUUGUAACAUGAAUAACAAAUUCAUGCGUGUCUUAUAAAAUUAUUUUGAUUAUAACUAUCCAUGCUUUUUUCUCCUUUUUUGCCAACAGAGCAUUUUUCAUAAUCAAAUGUAACACUUCAAAAAUCUUUCAUCGAGAAAAAGCAAGAAAAAUGAAUUUCAUAAAGAAAACAUUACAGGAUGAAUGACAAAAUCCUAAACAUUGAUGAGCAAUGGAAAAUUGAAAAGAAAUACUCAAUCAUGGUUGGCCAGUCAGCAAUGUCCUAUCUUUUUAGCAUAAUGAUAAAAUCAUAGUUGGUCUACAAGUAGCAGUGACGAUGCAACGCUUGGCCGCUGAGUGCGGAGGAGCAGCGACGUCAUAGACGAGAUAUGGUAGAGCUACCCGCAUCAUAACCUCCUCCAAAGGCGUCGCCACCCAUAGCCUAAGCCAAUGCCAAAGCGGUAGCCAUGGCAUAGAUUUGAUCCUUUACCAAUCGAAAAGAAGAGUGGUAGAAGUGGGUAGGUAGUGAGGAGUAUAGAUAGAGAGAAGGUAGAGAGAAUGAUGAAGAUAGGGUUUGGUAUGAAUUGGGC